AGGAGCUCAGCCUCGGUCUCGCGAAAUGGAGCGAGACUACGGAAGCCGGAAGCACUGGGUUAAGCAUUUCCUGAGCUAAGGGCUGCCUGCGGCUCCGAGGCCCUGGAAAUGUAAAGAUGAAAAAUACUCCUGAUUCUUGAGUGAUGCACAAUCCAAUAGAAGAUUAGACAUAAGAAGAAAUGUGACACAUGCAUGAAAGAACAUAAUAACACAGAUGCUUUUACAAGGAGAAUCUUCUGGCUAAAGGUUAGGGGGAUGUAGCAAUUCAUGAAUUCAGAGGAGUGAGAAUCACGUCAAACUAUAAAGAUUGAGCAAGGUUUUAUUGAAGAAGAGUCAGGAUGUUAACUGGAUCUCAAAGGGCUUGGGAGAGGAGAGAAGACAGAAAAAGUAAGGAAAAUGCAACCCAGGGUCAGCGGCAGUAAGCAGAACACCUUGGCCGAAGUAUGAAUUUGAGGAAGUAGCUAUCUCCUGAAUCACUGCCCAGUUGCCAGCUGCAAGUCCUAGCUCCACAGACAUAAAUGUCCACAGCACAAAGCCAAAAGAAUCUCUUAAGGGUGAUGCUGUCAAGCAAUAGCAGAAGGAGUUGGUGUUCUGGAGUCAGACACAGUUCACACAAGCUUUGAGAUUAAUUUCAUUGACACAAAGAGAGAAGGCAUUGCU
This is a long non-coding RNA of Neofelis nebulosa (Clouded leopard), 660 nucleotides long. RefSeq lists it as uncharacterized. The transcript has 6 exons. The record is from RefSeq and is a predicted model, not a curated record. NCBI's taxonomy places the organism in Eukaryota, Metazoa, Chordata, Mammalia, Carnivora, Felidae.